Molecule: ribosomal RNA, 602 nt
Filed under: Irpex lacteus
Lineage: Eukaryota; Fungi; Basidiomycota; Agaricomycetes; Polyporales; Irpicaceae
Description: partial large subunit ribosomal RNA
Rfam family: Eukaryotic large subunit ribosomal RNA
Source: RNAcentral
ACACGGAGGAAAAGAAACUAACAAGGAUUCCCCUAGUAACUGCGAGUGAAGCGGGAAAAGCUCAAAUUUAAAAUCUGGCGGCUUUGGUCGUCCGAGUUGUAUUCUAGAGAAGUGUUUUCCGCGUUGGACCGUGUAUAAGUCUCUUGGAAUAGAGCGUCAUAGAGGGUGAGAAUCCCGUCUUUGACACGGACUACCAAUGCUUUGUGAUACACUCUCAAAGAGUCGAGUUGUUUGGGAAUGCAGCUCAAAAUGGGUGGUAAAUUCCAUCUAAAGCUAAAUAUUGGCGAGAGACCGAUAGCGAACAAGUACCGUGAGGGAAAGAUGAAAAGCACUUUGGAAAGAGAGUUAAACAGUACGUGAAAUUGCUGAAAGGGAAACGCUUGAAGUCAGUCGCGUUAGCUAGAACUCAACCAGGCUUGCUUGGCGUAUUUUCUAGUUAACGGGCCAGCAUCAGUUUUGACCGCAGGAAAAGGGCCAGGGAAAUGUGGCAUCUUCGGAUGUGUUAUAGUCUCUGGUCGUAUACUGUGAUUGGGACUGAGGACCGCAGCACGCGCAAGCUGUGCUUAGGAUGCUGGCGUAAUGGCUUUAAACGACCCGUCUUG